GUACUUAUAUGAGUAUUUGCAAGCGACAAAAUACUAGCUAGCUGAUUGUUAUCCUGUUGGUCCUGAUUUGUCAAAAGUCAAUUAUAGUGUCUACAGAUAAGGGGUAGAAAAAUUUGGAGCUGCAAUUUAAAAUCGAGUAAAUUGCAAUCUAAUGUCAACUUCAAACCCGACAAAUGUCACCGCUCAGCGAUAUGUUGCAACCCCGCAACGUGUACAAUCAAGAAGAUAACCCACACACACUCCGUUGAUAUUUUCAAUAGCUGCACCCAUGCUCUCUGAGCCUGAAUUUAUAAUGUAAUAUCCUAAUGAUCAUCCACAUGAUAUCACCAUAGGCUCUCCUAAUACCUCUCAACCCUAAUGGAAUAGAGCUCAAUGGCAACCGCACUGGCGUCCU
This 394-nucleotide long non-coding RNA is filed under the name Oryza brachyantha (malo sina). RNAcentral's name for it is "long non-coding RNA (OBRA_LNC002681)". Lineage: Eukaryota; Viridiplantae; Streptophyta; Magnoliopsida; Poales; Poaceae. The record is from RNAcentral.